Molecule: unclassified non-coding RNA, 883 nt
Filed under: Hevea brasiliensis (rubber tree)
Lineage: Eukaryota; Viridiplantae; Streptophyta; Magnoliopsida; Malpighiales; Euphorbiaceae
Source: RNAcentral
GAGGAAACUGCAAAUAUCCUUCUGGAUCUUAUAAAUACUUUGGCCAUAAUGUCGUCCAGCAGAAAGAGCUAAAGAAUAGCAGGUCAUUGUGCCCUGUUAGCAUCUUCUCUUUUAUUUCGGAUUUGGAACCACUUCACGACUCUAUGCAGCUGCUCAUCAGUAAAAGAAACUUGAAACUUAAGAAGCAAACUGCACAAAUGGAGUGUCUAUCACUCCAGAUAAUAACGAGGAGAAGACGUCUCAGACCAAAAAGAAUAUCCGCAGAACAAGGAGGAGGGAAACAAGUAUCAAGCACAAAGUGUUGUACUUGCAUCAUCAAGUUGUGCUCCUAUUUUGAGAAGCUAAGUUUUGAGAGAACUGCAGCAGCUUGGUCACCACCUAGAAGGAAAUAAGGAUGUCUAAGAGCUGCAGCAGCAGAUAAACGUCUACCUCUCUCUGAAAUAAGUUUCGUAGCCAAAUCCCACCCUCUACCGGAGUCGAGAUCAAGGAUACUGAGAUCAGGCCUCGUCCUAGUCCUUUCUCUCCAAUUAUUCAAGUCAUAUCCAACUGCAUUUAGUUCCAUAUUGAAGUUCUUUAAGCCUGCUGUAGACCUUAAGCUCGGUACUGCCAUUUGCAUAAGCACUAUUCCAGCAGAAUACGUGUCAAAGAGAUCGGGACUGUUUAGCUGCCAUAAAAAUGGGGAAAGAAGUGCAGCAACUGGCUCGGGUGGUGGUUUCGGAGUUUCUUCUGGCAUUACAUAGAGUUCAGGUGGACAAUAAUCAGGAUCGAGUAGCCCCUUGUCAGGCACAUAAUUUUUUCCAAUCCGAAGAUCAGUUGCUGCCCCAAAAUCUAUCAGCUUGAUUUGUCCUUUUUUCGUAACCACUAAGUUGGAUGGCUUUACAUC